This 372-nucleotide ribosomal RNA is filed under the name uncultured eukaryote. RNAcentral's name for it is "partial 18S ribosomal RNA". It matches the Rfam family "Eukaryotic small subunit ribosomal RNA", at positions 592 to 976 of the family's 1831-position model. The record is from RNAcentral.
CAAUAGCGUAUAUUAAAGUUGUUGCAGUUAAAAAGCUCGUAGUUGGAUCUCUGUCGGCACUUAAGGUCCAUUUUUGGUACAUUUAAGUGCUGUCAUCCUUGUGUAGAACUUGUGUGGCAUUAGGUUGUCGUGCAGGGGAUGCUCAUCCUUUACUGUGAAAAAAUCAGCGCGUCCAAAGCAAGCUUAUGCUGUUGAAUGUAUUAGCAUGGAAUAAUGAGAUAGGACCUUGAUACUAUUUUGUUGGUUUGUGCAUUAAGGUAAUGGUUAAUAGGGACAGUUGGGGGUAUUCGUAUUCCAUUGUCAGAGGUGAAAUUCUUGGAUUUUUGGAAGACGAACUACUGCGAAAGCAGUUACCAAGGAUGUUUUCAUUAA